GUGGCGUGCUGGGGUGGCACGAGGCAGGCUGCUGGGGACGGGAGGAUUCGGGCAGACGCGUGCCUGGAAGUGGCGUGUUGGGGGCCGCGCACAGAGGGGCCGGGUCUGCACGGGCUGGAAAGACAAGGCGCUACAAGCGGCAGCAGAGGGGAUCAGGGGGCGACUCUCUCCUCCUCAUCCCAGAUUGCAAGAGUCAGAGGAACCAAGACCGCUGAAUAAGCAACGUGACUGCGGUCAAGCUCGCAGAGGAGGUUGCCGGGUGCACGGAAAUACUCACCGCCGUCGCAUCAAACAAGUGACAGGGAGCAAAGAGCAGCAUCACCUUAGACACCAAGGCCCAGUGAAGUCCAUGGGAAAUCGAUGGGCUUUGGGCCAGCUCCUUAGUUACUGGCACUGCGAUGUCCCUUCUGGACUGUGACUGAAUAGCACGAAUUCCCUACAUGCGUGGAACAGCUCUUUGAAAGAGGACACCUUCACUGGCUUGAACAGGACACCGUCAACUUGACGUUCACCUCUCUCUGAGACUGUUGUUCCAGAUAACGUCCACGGUCACCAGCACUGAAAAGAGUUAGUGAUAGCUGGGGAAAAAGAGAAAUGACUUCUGAUUUUCUUCUGUUUUGUUUGACAGCACUUUGUAUAAUUUUAUUUUGUUCAUUCCCUCGGGCACUUUCUUAAGCAGUCAGCUUCUUUCUUGUUCUUACAAAAACCUCUGCAAAGACUUAUUUAAAUGGAGUUUUUGUUUGAAAGAAAAAAAAUUGUGGUGCAUAAAAAAAAAGGAGGCUGGGGAUUUUUCAGAUUCAUUUGAAAAAUUCAAGCUGACAGUGUCCCUUUAAGAACAGGAAAUGAGUGUAUUUAGAAGUCUUUGUUGGCUUCCUGCCUGUUCCAUCCUUCUCUGUCAAUGCAGAUUAGCGACGUCUGUUUUGAUCUUGCCGUGAGCACUGUGGGCUGUGCGCAUUGUGGCAUUGGGGCCUGCAAGCACUGGUGUAACUGUGCUCGUGUGAAUCGUCCUACUAGAGUCAGUCCCUUUGCUCACACCUGCGAAGUUACCGUCUACAGUAGUCUUAACUGUAUUUGUGCGAGUAAGGAAACAGCUGCUCUGUCUCUGCAGCACACCAACUUGAUUCACUGAACACGGGGCUCAAAAUAAUUGACGGAGCUCAAACGAAAAACCAUUUCUCCUUCUUACACAGAACAUUGUCAGAGGCUUUGGGGUGUCGACUGAAAAACAUUUCCUGCCCUGAAGAGUCCCACUCCCUCGAUCAGGUAGACAGCAGAGCAAAUAAAUACAAGACAAAACACAUCUCCUUUGAAUCACCUCUAGGGAGCAGGUCUUGGCAGAAGACAAGAAAGCUAGUGAUGCUGUAAUAAUAAUCAUGAGAAUAAUAAUUUUAUUUAAAAAGACACCCCCUCCUCCCCCGGCGGUGUUCUGGAUGCUGCACAGCAAUUUUAAGUAUAACUGAGAGCAGCAACAGUAUGCAGCCGAAUGAACAGCAUACUAACAACGUGUCGUUACUUUAGGGAAGAUCUUUGCAGCAGCUGGCAAUUGGAAACUACCCGUUUCGGGGGCUUGUUAAAAGUGGAAAGGGAUAAAGCUGUGAAACGCGUGUCUGUGCUCCUCUCACACAGCAUAGGAGUGUGCAAGUCAUAGGCCGAAAGGAUUAAACCUGGGAGACAAAAAAUUAGGGAGCUCAAGCCUUAUUUUGGACUGGAUUUGGCAAAUGCUUACACACCUGCUUACACUUGCUCAGCUGAAU
This is a long non-coding RNA of Alligator sinensis (Chinese alligator), 1754 nucleotides long. RefSeq lists it as uncharacterized. The record is from RefSeq and is a predicted model, not a curated record. Lineage: Eukaryota; Metazoa; Chordata; Crocodylia; Alligatoridae. The transcript is spliced from 4 exons.